ACGCUGGCGGCGUGCCUAACACAUGCAAGUCGAGCGAGAAGUUGGAAGUGAAGAUUCGAUUGGAACGGAAAAUGGAAAGCGGCAGACGGGUGAGUAACGCGUGAAUAAUCAACCCUGCACAAAGGGAUAGCCUCGGGAAACCGGGAUUAAUACCAUAUGAAGUAUAUUAAUCGAAUGAUAGAUAUAUUAAAGUUUUUAACGGUGCAGGACGAGUUCGCGUCCCAUUAGCUAGUUGGUAAGAUAAUAGCCUACCAAGGCGACGAUGGGUAGCCGGCCUGAGAGGGUGAACGGCCACACUGGAACUGAGACACGGUCCAGACUCCUACGGGAGGCAGCAGUGGGGAAUAUUGCACAAUGGAGGAAACUCUGAUGCAGCGACGCCGCGUGAGCGAAGAAGGCCUUCGGGUCGUAAAGCUCUGUCCUAAGAGAAGAAGAAGUGACGGUAUCUUAGGAGGAAGCCCCGGCUAACUACGUGCCAGCAGCCGCGGUAAUACGUAGGGGGCUAGCGUUGUCCGGAAUUACUGGGCGUAAAGGGUGAGUAGGUGGUCAUUAAAGUCAGAUGUAAAAGGCAAUGGCUCAACCAUUGUAAGCAUAUGAAACUUAAUGACUUGAGUGCGGGAGAGGUAAAUGGAAUUCCUAGUGUAGCGGUGAAAUGCGUAGAUAUUAGGAAGAACACCAGUGGCGAAGGCGAUUUACUGGACUGUAACUGACACUGAGUCACGAAAGCGUGGGGAGCAAACAGGAUUAGAUACCCUGGUAGUCCACGCUGUAAACGAUGAGUGCUAGGUGUCGGCAAGAGAUUGUCGGUGCCGCAGUUAACGCAUUAAGCACUCCGCCUGGGGAGUACGAUCGCAAGA
Molecule: ribosomal RNA, 857 nt
Filed under: uncultured organism
Description: bacterial SSU rRNA
Rfam family: Bacterial small subunit ribosomal RNA
Source: RNAcentral